Molecule: ribosomal RNA, 465 nt
Filed under: uncultured bacterium
Lineage: Bacteria
Description: partial 16S ribosomal RNA
Rfam family: Bacterial small subunit ribosomal RNA
Source: RNAcentral
GGCGAACGCUGGCGGUGUGCUUAACACAUGCAAGUCGAACGGUAAGGCCCUUUCGGGGGUCCACGAGUGGCGAACGGGUGCGUAACACGUGAGUAACCUGCCCUCAUCUCUGGGAUAACAGUCGGAAACGGUUGCUAAUACUGGAUAUGAGCCUGCAAGGCAUCUUGUGGGUUGGAAAGAUUUUUUGGUUGGGGAUGGACUCGCGGCCUAUCAGCUUGUUGGUGAGGUAGUGGCUCACCAAGGCUUCGACGGGUAGCCGGCCUGAGAGGGCGACCGGCCACAUUGGGACUGAGAUAAGGCCCAAACUCCGACGGGAGGCAGCAGUGGGGAAGAUUGCACAAGGGACGGAAGGCGGAUGCAGCAACGCCGCGUGCGGGAUGACGGCCUUCGGGUUGGAAACCGCUUUCAAUUGUGACGAAGCUUUUUGUGACGGUAGCAGUAGAAGAAGCACCGGCUAACUACGUG